Molecule: ribosomal RNA, 253 nt
Filed under: uncultured bacterium
Lineage: Bacteria
Description: partial 16S ribosomal RNA
Rfam family: Bacterial small subunit ribosomal RNA
Source: RNAcentral
UACGUAGGGUGCGAGCGUUAAUCGGAAUUACUGGGCGUAAAGCGUGCGUAGGCGGUUCGUUAAGUUCGUUGUGAAAGCCCCGGGCUCAACCUGGGAACUGCAAUGGAAACUGGCGGGCUUGAGUGUGGCAGAGGGGGGUGGAAUUCCGCGUGUAGCAGUGAAAUGCGCAGAUAUCGGGAGGAACACCAAUGGCGAAGGCAGCUCGCUGGGACGGUACUGACGCUGAGACGCGAAAGCGUGGGGAGCGAACAGG